RNAcentral lists this small nuclear RNA (100 nucleotides) under Carlito syrichta (Philippine tarsier). The record is from RNAcentral. Lineage: Eukaryota; Metazoa; Chordata; Mammalia; Primates; Tarsiidae.
CUGCACAUUUUGGCAGCACAUAUACUAAAAUUGGAAUACAGGGAAGAUUAACAUGGCCCCGGUGCAAAGAUGACAAAUUCCUUAAGUGUACCACAUUUUA